Molecule: non-coding RNA, 730 nt
Organism: Equus caballus (horse)
Lineage: Eukaryota; Metazoa; Chordata; Mammalia; Perissodactyla; Equidae
Source: RefSeq, a predicted model, not a curated record
AGGACCACUCUGAGAGAGGACAGGAGAGAGGAAGGCAGCCCCAGAAGCAAGAGCCUAUUCUUCUGACCCUAAACUGAGAUAUGCUGAGUAACUGCAAAAGGUAACUUGAGAACGGCUGCUCCUGGCUAUUAAGGUCAUAGUCCAGCAAACCCUUAACACGUGCCCCAAAAAAGACCUUAAGACCAACUUCCCAGGGAUUCCGGGACCACCUCACCACUUGCCCGAGAGGAGAACACCCAAACUGAACCCUCCAUCUCCAGGCACAUGUUAAACUACAUUUUCCAGCCCUCUUGCUUUGAGGCUGGCCAUGUCACUGAGUUCUGGCAAUGAAACGGGCACAGAAGUGAUUUUUGUCACUUUCAGGCCUGAUCCAUAAAAACCUCGAUCCGUCAUCCCCUUUUCCAUCAUCCCUAUCUGGAUGACCCAGGGCACCACGAAGCCAUGUGAUGAAGAUGGGGAGAGCUUGGUCCCUGAAUGAUUACAUGGAGCAGAGCACCCUUCACCCUGCCCGCUGCCACCUACACUGAACUAUGACUUGGAUGAAAUAAACCUUCCCUGUGUUAAUCCGGUGAGAGUUUAGCUUAUCCUGACUAACAGCACCAUGAAGGUCUGAAGCCAAGUCCAUCAAACUCUGAAGACCAUCCUCUCUCAUGAAGCCAUAUUGCCACACAAUAUAGCAGAAAUAUAAAAGUCAAACUAUAAAAUAUUAUCUAAUUCCGCAGCUCACCUC